Molecule: ribosomal RNA, 484 nt
Filed under: uncultured bacterium
Lineage: Bacteria
Description: partial 16S ribosomal RNA
Rfam family: Bacterial small subunit ribosomal RNA
Source: RNAcentral
GACGAACGCUGGCGGCGUGCUUAACACAUGCAAGUCGAACGAUGAACCCGGAGCUUGCUCCGGCGGAUUAGUGGCGAACGGGUGAGUAACACGUGAGUAACCUGCCCUUGACUCUGGGAUAACUGCGGGAAACUGUAGCUAAUACCGGAUACGACCCUCGGCGGCAUCGCCAGGGGGUGGAAAGGAGUUCGGUCAAGGAUGGACUCGCGGCCAAUCAGCUAUUUGGUGAGGUAACGGCUCACCAAGGCGACGACGGGUAGCCGGCCUGAGAGGGUGACCGGCCACACUGGGACUGAGACACGGCCCAGACUCCUACGGGAGGCAGCAGUGGGGAAUAUUGCACAAUGGGCGCAAGCCUGAUGCAGCAACGCCGCGUGAGGGAUGACGGCCUUCGGGUUGUAAACCUCUUUUAGUAGGGAAGAAGCGAAAGUGACGGUACCUGCAGAAAAAGCACCGGCUAACUACGUGCCAGCCGCCGCCGUAA